UCCUACGGGAGGCAGCAGUGGGGAAUAUUGGACAAUGGGCGCAAGCCUGAUCCAGCAACGCCGCGUGGAGGACGAAGGUCUUCGGAUCGUAAACUCCUGUCAGGUGGGACGAACGGACGCCGGUGAACAAUCGGCGUCUCUGACGGUACCGCCAGAGGAAGCCCCGGCUAACUCCGUGCCAGCAGCCGCGGUAAUACGGAGGGGGCGAGCGUUAUUCGGAAUUAUUGGGCGUAAAGGGCGCGUAGGCGGCCUGGUAAGUCAAAGGUGAAAUCCCUCGGCUCAACUGAGGAAUGGCCUUUGAAACUGUCAGGCUUGAGGCCGGGAGGGGGUAGCGGAAUUCCCAGUGUAGCGGUGAAAUGCGUAGAUAUUGGGAGGAACACCAGUGGCGAAGGCGGCUACCUGGACCGAGACUGACGCUGAGGCGCGAAAGCGUGGGGAGCAAACAGGAUUAGAUACCCUGGUAGUCCACGCUGUAAACGAUGUGUGCUAGACGUUGGGGAGCCUAGCUCUUCGGUGUCGCAGCUAACGCGGUAAGCACACCGCCUGGGGAGUACGGCCGCAAGGUUAAAACUCAAAGGAAUUGACGGGGGCCCGCACAAGCGGUGGAGCAUGUGGUUUAAUUCGACGCAACGCGAAGAACCUUACCAGCCCUUGACAUGCCUCGUAUGGGGUGGGGAGACCCACUUCUUCAGUUCGGCUGGCGGGGACACAGGUGCCGCAUGGCCGUCGUCAGCUCGUGUCGUGAGAUGUUGGGUUAAGUCCCGCAACGAGCGCAACCCUUAUCAUUAGUUGCUACGCAAGGGCACUCUAAUGAGACUGCCGGUGACAAACCGGAGGAAGGUGGGGAUGACGUCAGGUCAUCAUGGCCCUUAUGGGUAGGGCUACACACGUCAUACAAUGGCCGGUACAGAGGGCUGCCAACCCGCGAGGGGGAGCUAAUCUCAGAAAACCGGUCGUAGUCCGGAUCGCAGUCUGCAACUCGACUGCGUGAAGUCGGAAUCGCUAGUAAUCGCGGAUCAGCUUGCCGCGGUGAAUACGUUCCCGGGCCUUGUACACACCGC
Molecule: ribosomal RNA, 1061 nt
Filed under: endosymbiont of Ridgeia piscesae
Lineage: Bacteria; Pseudomonadati; Pseudomonadota; Gammaproteobacteria
Description: bacterial SSU rRNA
Rfam family: Bacterial small subunit ribosomal RNA
Source: RNAcentral